GGAAUUGUUGGCAAUGGGCGUAAGCCUGACGACGCAACGCCGCGUGGAGGACGAAAACCUUCGGGUCGUAAACUCCUGUCGAGCGGGACGAAACCCGCACGGGUGAACAAUCCGUGCGGUUGACGGUACCGCUAAAGGCAGCCCCGGCUAACCCCGUGCCAGCAGCCGCGGUAAUCCGGGGGGGGCAAGCGUUGUUCGGAAUUACUGGGCGGAAAGGGCUCGUAGGCGGCCAGCUAAGUCGGACGUGAAAUCCCUCGGCUCAACCGAGGAACUGCGUCCGAUACUGACUGGCUUGAAUCCGGGAGAGGGAUGCGGAAUUCCAGGUGUAGCGGUGAAAUGCGUAGAUAUCUGGAGGAACACCGGUGGCGAAGGCGGCAUCCUGGACCGGUAUUGACGCUGAGGAGCGAAAGCCAGGGGAGCAAA
This 423-nucleotide ribosomal RNA is filed under the name uncultured bacterium. RNAcentral's name for it is "bacterial SSU rRNA". It matches the Rfam family "Bacterial small subunit ribosomal RNA", at positions 358 to 772 of the family's 1533-position model. The record is from RNAcentral.